GAGCGGAUGACGGGAGCUUGCUCCUUGAUUCAGCGGCGGACGGGUGAGUAAUGCCUAGGAAUUUGCCUGGUAGUGGGGGACAACGUCUCGAAAGGAACGCUAAUACCGCAUACGUCCUACGGGAGAAAGCAGGGGACCUUCGGGCCUUGCGCUAUCAGAUGAGCCUAGGUCGGAUUAGCUAGUUGGUGGGGUAAUGGCUCACCAAGGCGACGAUCCGUAACUGGUCUGAGAGGAUGAUCAGUCACACUGGAACUGAGACACGGUCCAGACUCCUACGGGAGGCAGCAGUGGGGAAUAUUGGACAAUGGGCGAAAGCCUGAUCCAGCCAUGCCGCGUGUGUGAAGAAGGUCUUCGGAUUGUAAAGCACUUUAAGUUGGGAGGAAGGGCAGUAAGUUAAUACCUUGCUGUUUUGACGUUACCGACAGAAUAAGCACCGGCUAACUCUGUG
Molecule: ribosomal RNA, 448 nt
Filed under: uncultured bacterium
Lineage: Bacteria
Description: bacterial SSU rRNA
Rfam family: Bacterial small subunit ribosomal RNA
Source: RNAcentral